AUGGUGGGGCUGUGGCUGCUGGUGGUGGCCCUCACGUGCUGCUGGUGGACACAGGGCAGCCAGGGUAAGACCCUGUGGGGCAGCUUCAGCAGCACAGUGGCCCAAGAUGCUCAGGGCCAGCGCAUAGGCCAGUUCAAGUUCCAUGGUGACCAUGCUCUUCUGUGUGUCAAAAUCAACAACAUAGCCAUAGCUGUUGAAAAAGAAGCUAAACUCUACCUGUUCUAAGCUCAGGAAUGGCUAAAGCCACAGGAAAGCAGUCAUGGUUAUAGCUGUAGUAAAAAAUCAUCCAAAGCUCAAUUGACAAUGACCAUGAACCAGACUGAACAUAAUCUGACAGUGUCCCAGAUUCCAUCUCCACAAACAUGGCAUGUGUUUUAUGCAGACAAGUAUACAUGCCAAGAUGACAAGGAUGGUACAUCAGUUGGAUGAUGUCCCAUUUGAAAUGGUGUUACUAAACCCAGAUGAUCAUUUUAGUGCUGGAGAAUCCUGGUUACAUGAAUUCUUCUUCCUCCUAGUCCUAGUGUACUUUGUGAUUGCUUGCAUUUGUGCUGCAUUGUGGCAGGCUAUUAAGAAAGGAGGACCUAUGCACAUGAUUUUAAAGGUUCUGGCAACUGCAUUGCUGUUCCAGCUUGUUCAGCUUUAGCUAAUUACAUUCAUUUCUUCAGUUACUCCAAAGAUGGAAUAUGGGUACCAUUUAUGGGAAGUUUGGCAGAAUUUUUUGACAUCGCUUCCCAAAUUCAGAUGUCAUACCUACUUUUGAGUCUAUGCAUGGGUUGGAUAAUAGAAUGAAGAAGUCUCAAAGCAGACCUCUCCAGUGGGAUUCUACCCCUGCAUCCACCAGCAUUGCAGUAUUCACUGUCAUGACACAGAGUAUUUUGCUACUUUGGGAACAGUUUGAAGAUACCAGUCAUCAUAGCUACCAUUCACACCACAACUUAGCAGGGAUCCUCCUAAUCAUUCUAAGAAUUUGCCUAGCAUUGUCAUUAGGCGGUGGACUCUAUCAGAUCAUCACAGUGGAGAGAAGUAUACUCAAAAGGGAGUUCUACAUCACAGUUGCCAAAGGCUGUACCUUGUAGCUUUUAUGCCAUCCAGUUCUUGCAUGCAUUUCUGUCAUUUUUAGUAACUACCAAAGGGACAAGGUUAUAACAAUAGGUGUUAUCCUUUGUCAGUCUGUUUUCCUGGUUAUUCUCUACAGACACUUUCUAUCUCACAGAGUAUACUGGGAAGUUUCUUCACUUUCCUCAGUAACACUACCACUGAAAAUAUCAUCUGGACACAAAAGCCGCCCUCAUUUCUGAUACUUGAUUUUUGUUGAGAGGAAAAGUGAAUUGGUUAAAAGAGUGCAAUAAGGAUCCAAAUACUGUGACUUUUCUUCAUACAUUUAGUGUGAAAACUUGAACAGUGAAAGCAGAGCAUGUUAUUUAUAUAAUUGCAUUUAAUCAGUACCAAAACUGAAACAAAAG
Molecule: RNA transcript, 1463 nt
Organism: Cebus imitator (Panamanian white-faced capuchin)
Lineage: Eukaryota; Metazoa; Chordata; Mammalia; Primates; Cebidae
Gene name: integral membrane protein GPR180-like
Exons: 1
Source: RefSeq, a predicted model, not a curated record